Molecule: ribosomal RNA, 856 nt
Filed under: uncultured bacterium
Lineage: Bacteria
Description: bacterial SSU rRNA
Rfam family: Bacterial small subunit ribosomal RNA
Source: RNAcentral
CGAACGCUGGCGGCGUGCCUAACACAUGCAAGUCGAGCGGAGACAAUAGCAAUGUUGUCUUAGCGGCGGACGGGUGAGUAACGCGUGAGUAACCUGCCUCAUACUGGGGGAUAACACCGGGAAACUGGUGCUAAUACCGCAUAAUACAUUUAAGUGGCAUCACUUGAAUGUCAAAGGAGUAAUCCGGUAAGAGAUGGACUCGCGUCCGAUUAGCUAGUUGGCGGGGUAAUAGCCCACCAAGGCGACGAUCGGUAGCCGAACUGAGAGGUUGAUCGGCCACAUUGGGACUGAGACACGGCCCAGACUCCUACGGGAGGCAGCAGUGGGGAAUAUUGCGCAAUGGGGGAAACCCUGACGCAGCAACGCCGCGUGAAGGAUGAAGGUUUUCGGAUUGUAAACUUCUUUGAUUGGGGACGAAUAAUGACGGUACCCAAAAAAACAAGCCACGGCUAACUACGUGCCAGCAGCCGCGGUAAUACGUAGGUGGCGAGCGUUGUCCGGAAUUACUGGGUGUAAAGGGCGUGUAGGCGGGGACGCAAGUCAGAUGUGAAAUUCCAGGGCUCAACUCUGGAGCUGCAUCUGAAACUGUGUCUCUUGAGUGCUGGAGAGGAAAGCGGAAUUCCUAGUGUAGCGGUGAAAUGCGUAGAUAUUAGGAGGAACACCAGUGGCGAAGGCGGCUUUCUGGACAGUAACUGACGCUGAGGCGCGAAAGCGUGGGGAGCAAACAGGAUUAGAUACCCUGGUAGUCCACGCUGUAAACGAUGGAUACUAGGUGUAGGAGGUAUCGACCCCUCCUGUGCCGCAGUUAACACAAUAAGUAUCCCACCUGGGGAGUACGGCCGGCAGGUUGAAACUC